AACGAACGCUGGCGGCAUGCCUAACACAUGCAAGUCGAACGAGAUCUUCGGGUCUAGUGGCGCACGGGUGCGUAACGCGUGGGAAUCUGCCCUUUGGUUCGGAAUAACAGUUGGAAACGACUGCUAAUACCGGAUGAUGACGAAAGUCCAAGGAUUUAUCGCCAGAGGAUGAGCCCGCGUAGGAUUAGCUAGUUGGUGUGGUAAAGGCGCACCAAGGCGACGAUCCUUAGCUGGUCUGAGAGGAUGAUCAGCCACACUGGGACUGAGACACGGCUCGGACUCCUACGUGAGGCAGCAGUGGGGAAUAUUGGACAAUGGGCGAAAGCCUGAUCCAGCAAUGCCGCGUGAGUGAUGAAGGCCUUAGGGUUGUAAAGCUCUUUUACUCGGGAUGAUAAUGACAGUACCGGGAGAAUAAGCUCCGGCUAACUCCGUGCCAGCCGCCGCGGUAA
This 449-nucleotide ribosomal RNA is filed under the name uncultured bacterium. RNAcentral's name for it is "partial 16S ribosomal RNA". It matches the Rfam family "Bacterial small subunit ribosomal RNA", at positions 29 to 523 of the family's 1533-position model. The record is from RNAcentral.